Monomorium pharaonis (pharaoh ant) is the source of this 2026-nucleotide RNA transcript. It is a transcript of the gene named odorant receptor 13a, with no coding region annotated. NCBI's taxonomy places the organism in Eukaryota, Metazoa, Arthropoda, Insecta, Hymenoptera, Formicidae. The record is from RefSeq and is a predicted model, not a curated record. The transcript has 6 exons.
AUUUAAUGAUAUAAUUACAAGUAAAAUAAAUUAUUUAAUAUUAAUUAUUUUCAUAGAAAUGGAACAAUAACAAUAGUAUAGCAAUUUUGACAUAUUUCUUUCUAUUGAUGUAUAGUGUUUUCAUAUUUUAUUACAUUGGUGAUCAAAUCGAGUGCAUCUCAGUUUCAGAGCAUAAACGCGCAACAAAAAAUGUAUAAUUUUUUAAUAAUAACAUCCUACACACUUCUUCCAAUGCACUUUUAUUUUAUAUUAGCAAGUAAUCCUUACUUUUUAAUUCACAUCAACCUCACAUUUUCAAUAUCCAAAGAAAUGAAGAUAUGACGAAGGGAUUAUCUUAAAAUCGAUUCUCCACAAGAGGUGGUGUGUUUUUACGUCGAUGCUAGCGUCCCGAACAAAAACACUUCACACAAUGUUAAUCGCGCACAGACUAUACAGAGACUAUAUUACAUUAGACUGUAUGUGCAGAGAAAAGGAUAUCUGCAAUUCGAGCGCAAGCGCCAACGACCUUGCAAUCAAUGCCGCGCGUCUGCCUCGUGCAGUCUUUGACAGUCGCUGUGAUCGCGAACAUGCCAAGUGCACACGACGAAAAGGAUCCCCCUUAUCAGCAAGACAUUCGAUAUGUCUUCAAGCUGAACAAAUGGAUUCUGGGUUCAAUCGGUAUCUGGCCAGUGUCGGAACAAGGCUUCGGGCGGCAUGCGUCCAAGAUCGCGAUCGCGCUCGGUAAUCUCACAUUAAGUUUCGCGAUGGUGCCUUUCGCUUUGCACAUUGUCUAUGACGAGAAGGACAUUAUCAUGAGACUGAAGCUAAGCGGCCUGCUGGCUUUCUGCAUCGUUUCGAUGACGAAGUAUUGCAUUCUCGCGAUACGCCGUCCUAAAAUACAGCAAUGUAUCGAAUACGUAAAAAAUGAUUGGUGGAAGGUAACGUUCAAAUCCAAUCGGGAACUGAUGUUAAAAUAUGCUACCAUCGGACGCAAUUUAACAAUAAUUAGCGCAUCUUUCAUGUACACCGCCGGCAUUAUUUAUUUCAUGAUUCUGAUUCCGUUCUUUUCCGAGACCAAGAUCAACAAUCAAACGGUCAGACCACUUGUAUAUCCAAUUUAUAAUGCAUUUUACCAAUCCCAGAUUAGCCCGAUAUACGAAAUUGUAUAUGUGGCUCAUUGCCUGUGUGGAUAUACCACAUAUUCAAUAACAGUCGGUGCUUGUGGAUUAGCUGCUGUGUUUGUCACUCAUGCAUGCGGCCAGAUCCAUAUGAUUCUAUUACAAUUGGAAGAUCUAUUAAACGGUGAAAAUUCAGACAUUCAUCAACGAAUUGCUAUUAUCGUGAAGGACCACGUCCGCGUAAUGAGGUUUUCAGCCGUGAUAGAAGAAAUUUUACAAGAAGUAUGUUUAGUGGAAUUCUCUAGUUCUGUAUGCACGAUAUGUCUACUCGAAUACUACUGUAUAGUGGAUUGGCAAGCGAACAAUAAGCUUAGUUUAGCAAAUUACUUUUUGCUCUUCAUUUCAUUCUGCUUUAAUAUAUACAUAUUAUGCUAUAUUGGCGAGCUUCUCAUAGAAAAGUCAAAUUGGAUCGGUGUGCUUUAUGAUCAAUUGGUACCAAUUAUCUCCCAAAUCAGUUCGCAGUCUUAUAAUGAUAAUUGCAAUAUCUAGCAAUCCCAUAAAGCUUAGUGCUGGUAGAAUGGUAGAUUUAUCAUUAACAACUUUUGGAAAUGUACUGAAAACUAGCGUGGCGUAUCUGAGCUUCCUACGGACAUUAGUUAUGUAAAUAUGACUGCAAUUGUUUGACACAAUUAAAAAAAUAUUUUAACUUUGAUCUAGUUAAUCUAUUCAGUGUAGAAUCUUGGUAUAUAUAAAAUAAUAUUAUUUAGAAUAUUAUCUCAAUAUAUUAGAUGUCUACAUAGUCGCAUAGUUUUUUCUCGUUAAUUAUAUUCUCGUUAAGAUAUCUAUGCAUAAAUAGUCUCUUUUUUACUUUAUUAACGCGUGCUAAAAAUUAAUUUAAUUCUGAUAAUUAAAUAAAGCAAAUUGUUAAC